RNAcentral lists this long non-coding RNA (1721 nucleotides) under Malus domestica (apple). Its description in RNAcentral is "long non-coding RNA (MDOM_LNC007113)". Lineage: Eukaryota; Viridiplantae; Streptophyta; Magnoliopsida; Rosales; Rosaceae. The record is from RNAcentral.
AAAACCUUAAAACCCAUCUUCCCCCCAUUUCUUCCUUCACUCUCUUCACCUCCCCUCCAUUCUCUCUCCCAUUCCUUCCUCUUCACCUCCCCGCCACACUCGCCGCCUCCUCAUUUCCCUCCCAACCCACCAAACCCACCUGCCCAAUUUGGGACAUCGAAAAAGGGGGUCGUCGAGUCGCCGAGCUGGAUAUGCGCCACCAAGCCGCCUCCUGCCUGUCGUUGCUGCCUGAAAUCGGACCCGCAUCCUGCUGCAAUUCCUUCUGCACCAACCCACUCCAAUACCUACAUGCUGCACCAGAUCACGGAAACUUGCCGUUCGUUGUUCUUGUUCGCAUAUUGUCGGAGAUCGAUGAAAUUCUUGGUACCAAGAAUUCGAUGUCCCAAAUUGGAAGCAGAAUAUACUCCUUUCUUGGCUCUCUAAACUUUGCUUGUCAAAGCCAUGUUUAGCUUUUGUUUUAGCUUCAACUCCAAUAACUCUGGUUGCAGCUUUGUAGUUGCAAGUAGCCAGGCAUGUUUGGAUGCACAAUAACGUGCUCAAAUCAACAGAUUAAAACGACUUGAUUAAUCUGUUUUUCUUAAGUUUUUUUACACCCAAACAAACAGCACUUAUCGGAGUUUGGUGUAUUUUUGUUUGAACUUCUUCGAUUGUACAAAUUGCUUUGACUGCUUCAGCUCCUCUUGUUCCCGUCAGUUGUAAUUGUGUGUUUCGAUCUCUUAAUUAAUCCCCCAUUCUUAAUUAGCUACUCAAAUUUGUUUUUAAAAUUCUUGGGGCUUGAACAAAUGGAUUCUGUAUUCUGUUGUUUGGUUGCUGAGAAAAUGUUGAGAGAGAAGGGGAAGAAAAGUAGAGCAAGAUUCACUGAAAACUUCUGAAGUGUUGUGUGAUUUGGUAAUCUGAUAAGAACCCAGAUCGUGGUUUUGGAUUAUUUCUUGUAUUUUUCCAGCACUUUCUCGGAUUCCAAACAAAGUGGCAUAAAUUUGUGAAUUUGGGGAAGGCUUUUGACAUUUCUGGGAAUUUUUGCAGGUGGUGCAAAGCAAUUGAGUAAAUCAGUGCUUCUCUGUUCUUCAAGACGAUAUACGAGUAUGAGUAGUUCUCGACGACCCCCUUUUUCGAUGUCCCAAAUUGGGCAGGUGGGUUUGGUGGGGUGGGAGGGAAAGGAGGAGGCCGCGGGUGUGGUGGGGAGGUGAAGAGGAAGGAGUGGGAGAGAGAAGGGAGGGGAGGUGAAGAGAGUGGAGGAGAAGUGAGUCGGGAAGAUGGGUUUAGGGUUUUUUUUAUAUAUAUUUUGUAAUUAAUUUUUUUUUUAAAUUCAUAAAAAAUUAUUAUUAUUACCACGUGGCACAAAUGUGGUAGUUACGUGGUAUAAAUGUGGCAGCCACGUCAGCUCUUAACGAAACAAUGGGUAGAAAAUCUAACGAAUGUAUUAUUUUGAAAUAAAAUAAUACGUGAGGUAUGAAAGUGAAAUAUUUUAAUGAUGUUGUAUGGGGUUGUAAUAGACCUCAAGCGAUACUAUGUAAUUUACCCAAAUAAUUAUUUUGGAAUUUAUAGAUUCUCAUUAACUUACAAUUUGAUUUUAUAUUUUUAUAACAAAAUUACAUUUCGAGAGUAAUUGCUAAUUACAUGUUUUUGAGUUGAAAGGUGAGUCAUUACAUCAAUCAUAUGUGUGAAGAACGUUGCCAACCACUUAAAGUUUGUCUUCUUUUCUAUUUAUUCAAUAAUGUAUA